GCGCCCGUAGUUCAACUGGACAGAGCAUCUGACUUCGGAUCAGAGGGUUGCAGGUUCGAGUCCUGCCGGGCGCGCCA
RNAcentral lists this transfer RNA (77 nucleotides) under Verrucomicrobiota bacterium. Its description in RNAcentral is "Verrucomicrobia bacterium (groundwater metagenome) tRNA-Arg". It matches the Rfam family "tRNA". From Rfam's summary of the family: Transfer RNA (tRNA) molecules are approximately 80 nucleotides in length. Their secondary structure includes four short double-helical elements and three loops (D, anti-codon, and T loops). The record is from RNAcentral. Lineage: Bacteria; Pseudomonadati; Verrucomicrobiota.